AUGGUGCUCCACGACGAUGCGGGCCGCGACCUCAAGUUGUCGGCGCUGCACCUCGGCGUGCCCCACGACGACCUGUGGCAGAGGUGGUGCACCCGCCACGCCGAGGUCACUCGAGCCGGGCACCAGACCCUCGGCUCCCUGCGCUCCGCCGUCAACACCAUCGACCUCCUCGACCCCACGAUCGGCAGCGCCACCAACAAGACGGGACUGGGGCACGAGACGCAGCUCCUCCUCCGCGCCCAGGAUGAAAUUCAGUCGGCACGAGACGGGCUUCGGCAGAUGCGGAGCGCGGCGACCUUGGAGGUUUUCGACUCUGCGUGGAUCUCUCUCAAGGGGCAGCCAGCGUGA
This 348-nucleotide ribosomal RNA is filed under the name Triticum aestivum (bread wheat). RNAcentral's name for it is "partial small subunit ribosomal RNA". The record is from RNAcentral. Lineage: Eukaryota; Viridiplantae; Streptophyta; Magnoliopsida; Poales; Poaceae.